AGAUAAAGUAUUGUUUCCUUGUUAGAAGAUACAAAGCCAAAGACUCAUACAAACUUCGACUACACCAUCAAAGCUUUGAGAAGCAAUAAGAAGCUUGGUUAGUGUUUUGGAUUCAAAUAUGACU
This 124-nucleotide small RNA is filed under the name Arabidopsis thaliana (thale cress). Its description in RNAcentral is "ATSL198190". Lineage: Eukaryota; Viridiplantae; Streptophyta; Magnoliopsida; Brassicales; Brassicaceae. The record is from RNAcentral.